Molecule: RNA transcript, 1887 nt
Organism: Prunus dulcis (almond)
Lineage: Eukaryota; Viridiplantae; Streptophyta; Magnoliopsida; Rosales; Rosaceae
Gene name: putative oxidoreductase TDA3
Exons: 3
Source: RefSeq, a predicted model, not a curated record
GGAAAAUAAAUGUAAUUCGGCGAAGACUGAGCCAUUAAAAUUGGGCCUCUUUUUGUUUGUGUCUCUCUUUGGUUCAACUAAGCCCACAUUUCGGCUCAUCACAAACAAACCAGUGAGCCACUGACACACACAAUAUGCGCCAUAUGGCGGUGGCAUCACCGCUUUUAACCUCACCACCAACAGUAUCUCCAUUUCUCCGACAAACCCGAAGCUACAAAAGGACCUUGAUCCGGUCGUCCUCAUCAGCAUCAUCGCCAAUGGACCUUCACCACCCAAAACGAGUCGUCGUAUGCGGCGGCGGCGUCAUCGGCGUAUGCACCGCUUACUUCUUAGCCAAAAGCGGCGCCGCCGUAACCCUCGUCGAGAAAUCCUCCGUGGCUUGCGCUGCCUCCGGAAAAGCCGGCGGCUUCCUCGCCCUCGAUUGGUGCGACGGCGGGCCCCUCAGUUCCCUCGCCCGUGCCAGCUUCAACCUCCACCGUUCGCUUGCUCAAGAACUCGACGGCCCCAAUUCUUACGGCUACCGAUCCCUCACCACUCUCAGCCUCACCGUCACAGAGUCUCAGAGCUCGAAACCCUCCGGAAAGUCCGCUUUGCCGUCUUGGGUUGAUGGGCCGGGUCGGAGUCCGAGAACCAUCGGGACCACGGAGACCACGGCCCAGGUCCAUCCUCAGCUCUUUACCCGGACCUUGAUUUCGAAGGCGGCGGAGGAUUAUGGCGUCGACGUGGUGAUUGGGAAAUUGGAGCACUUGGGAGUGGACAAUGGGCGAGUGAGCUCGGUGGUUUUGGAGGGAGGACGAGUGAUUGACUCGGACGCUGUCGUUUUGGCGCUGGGGCCAUGGUGUGGGAAAUUUGAGCUGUUGUCGUCGUUGUUCAGAGUGUACGGUAUAAAGGCUCAUAGCAUUGUGUUGGAGCCUAAAGAACCUGAGGCUAUAACCCCUCAUGCGCUUUUCCUGAGUUACUAUCCGUCUCAAGGAGGAAAGCCCUUGGACCCAGAAGUGUACCCUCGCCCCACAGGUGAGGUGUAUGUGUGUGGGAUGUCCGCAGAGGCAGAGAUACCGGAUGAUCCAGAGCAAAUAGUGGGCAAUCCGGAGUCGAUAGAGGUGCUGAGAGGGGUGGCAAGCAGUGUGUCAAGCCAUUUGAGAGAAGGAGAGGCACAGGUGAAGGCAGAGCAAGCAUGUUUCCUGCCCUGUACUGAUGAUGGUGUCCCUGUGAUUGGGGAGGUGCCAGGGGUUAAGGGGUGUUAUGUGGCUACUGGGCAUAAUUGUUGGGGGAUUCUGAAUGGUCCUGCCACUGGAGCUGCUGUGGCUGAGCUUGUGCUGGAUGGGAAAGCUAGCAUCGUAGAUCUCAGUCGGUUUAGUCCGGCAAGAUUUGCUGGGCUUAAGAAGGGUUAAGACAUUAAUCUGGUGUAGACAGAUUUAGAGCACUGAGGAAGUGCAGUGAAGUCAUGUUGUAUCUGGAGUUUUUUUUUUAAUUUUCAGUUGAAGGUAAGAAAGAAUCUGCAUAUGGUAGCUAUCAGUCAGGAAUCAAGCAGCGGCGGUCAAAAGAAAUAAGCUGUUGCAGUUGCCUGCAAGCAAAGCAAGAAAGCAUGUAGCAGCUGAGUAUGGUAGUUGGAAGAUAGUUAAGACUGUCAGGAGUUUGUGUAAUUAGCUGUAAUUGUUCGUUCCCUGCCCUGUGUGAGAAGCAACGCAAAGGAAUGCGGUUGUAUAAGUCCAAGCCAUUGUAAAAAUGACUGAUAUUCAUGAAAUGGAAGAUUACAAAUUAGUAGGCAUCAGUCUUCUUGCCAUCCAGCUGGACCCUUGUCUUUUUAUGUUUUAUAGGUCUGGAGCUGGACCCUUGUUUCUCUGAAAAAUUUGCACACUAAUGUAAUAAGUUUCGGUUCUGGAACCA